Non-coding RNA from Aedes albopictus (Asian tiger mosquito), 58 nucleotides. The record is from Rfam. Lineage: Eukaryota; Metazoa; Arthropoda; Insecta; Diptera; Culicidae.
UAGCCAAGUGGUUAAGGCUAUGGAUCGCCAAUCCGGAGACGGCGGGUUCGAUUCCCGU